AGGGUCCGAAUGGUAACACCGUA
RNAcentral lists this non-coding RNA (23 nucleotides) under Arabidopsis thaliana (thale cress). Lineage: Eukaryota; Viridiplantae; Streptophyta; Magnoliopsida; Brassicales; Brassicaceae. The record is from RNAcentral.